CAAUAGCGUAUAUUAAAGUUGUUGCAGUUAAAAAGCUCGUAGUUGAAUUUUUGCUUGCCGCCGAUGUCGGAACUUCCGUACGUUCGGCGGCGUGCAUCCUUGGGUGGAACCUGUGUGGCAUUAGGUUGUCGUGCAGGGGAUGCUCAUCGUUUACUGUGAAAAAAUUAGAGUGUUCAAAGCAGGCUUAUGCCGUUGAAUAUAUUAGCAUGGAAUAAUAAGAUAGGACCUUGGUACUAUUUUGUUGGUUUGCGCACCGGGGUAAUGAUUAACAGGGACAGUUGGGGGUAUUCGUAUUCCAUUGUCAGAGGCGAAAUUCUUGGAUUUCUGGAAGACGAACUACUGCGAAAGCAUUUACCAAGGAUGUUUUCAUUA
RNAcentral lists this ribosomal RNA (372 nucleotides) under uncultured eukaryote. RNAcentral describes it as "partial 18S ribosomal RNA". It matches the Rfam family "Eukaryotic small subunit ribosomal RNA", at positions 592 to 975 of the family's 1831-position model. The record is from RNAcentral.